Long non-coding RNA from Catharus ustulatus (Swainson's thrush), 682 nucleotides. RefSeq lists it as uncharacterized. Lineage: Eukaryota; Metazoa; Chordata; Aves; Passeriformes; Turdidae. The transcript has 3 exons. The record is from RefSeq and is a predicted model, not a curated record.
GCACCUGACUAGGAACUUCAGUGAAUGUGAUUAAUUUUUCUGGGUGGAUUCUAAUUCUCUCAUCUGUGAGUCUGUGUCCAGUCCCCUGGCAAACACAGCUGCCUGUUCAGAGAGCUGCCAGAUUCAUGAUUCCUACGCUGCUUAGCGAAGCCAGCAAAGUUAUUUUUUAGCCAUCAGAGAACAGGAAGGACAGAAGUCUGCUAAGCACCCUCUGUUAUGCUGCAUGCCACGCUACAAAAUAGCUGUUUAAAAGAUCUGCCGACACUCUGCUCUGAUAUUAUACAUGCAAAUUGAGUCUAACUGGAUCUUUCUGCCUCAGUCUGAGCUGAUGAGAAAAGCCCCAUGAUAACCAUAUGUUACACUAACUCUGUAAAGGGAGCAAUGGGAUAUUCUGUACUUUCUGUAGCUGUCACUGGAUAUGUAACUUUUUCCUGAACUGCAUAUUUAGGCACCCGUGGAGAACUGGAUUUACAGCCCUGUGUUUCCUGAGAUACAGUGAUUUUGAUCUGAAAACAAAAGAAAAGAUUUUAAGACAGAAAACAAUAUUCCCUACAACUGUGAGGGGACAAAAAAGUCUCAAUAGCUGCAAAUGCAUCAUAAAGUUAGUUUUUCCAGCUUUCAUGAAAAAUCAACAUGUGUAUUUGUCUCCUCUACCAUUUUCCUUGCUCUUCUUGAAUGAAGG